Molecule: long non-coding RNA, 256 nt
Filed under: Theobroma cacao (cacao)
Lineage: Eukaryota; Viridiplantae; Streptophyta; Magnoliopsida; Malvales; Malvaceae
Description: long non-coding RNA (TCAC_LNC005344)
Source: RNAcentral
AAAAGUAAUAAUGCUGACUGUUAAAAUAAUGCAUCGAUAGCUCCUCUUUCACAUAUCAAUUGUUUAUUGAUGUCUUCUAUCAUUGUAGUUUAUCUGAAACGUCAGUUACCAUGUAUUCUUAUAAUAUCAUUUGAAAGUCAACUAUUUACGAUGUGUUCAGUCAUGCCAUCUUAUUAUCUUGUUUUGUCAUGUUACUUGACACGUGUAUUGUGAUGUCAUCUUUUAUACCAUAUUUCGUCACAUCACUAUGUUAUGC